GAUGAACGCUGUCUACAGGCUUAACACAUGCAAGUCGAGGGGAAACGACAGGGAAGCUUGCUUCCCCGGGCGUCGACCGGCGCACGGGUGAGUAACGCGUAUCCAACCUGCCUCUGACUGAGGGAUAACCCGUCGAAAGUCGGCCUAAUACCUCAUGGCAUCGUCUGCGGGCAUCCAACGACGAUUAAAGAUUUCAUCGGUCAGGGAUGGGGAUGCGUCUGAUUAGCUUGUUGGCGGGGUAACGGCCCACCAAGGCUACGAUCAGUAGGGGUUCUGAGAGGAAGGUCCCCCACAUUGGAACUGAGACACGGUCCAAACUCCUACGGGAGGCAGCAGUGAGGAAUAUUGGUCAAUGGGCGGGAGCCUGAACCAGCCAAGUAGCGUGCAGGAGGACGGCCCUAUGGGUUGUAAACUGCUUUUAUGCGGGGAUAAAGUGAGGGACGUGUCCUUCAUUGCAGGUACCGCAUGAAUAAGGACCGGCUAAUUCCGUG
Molecule: ribosomal RNA, 491 nt
Filed under: uncultured bacterium
Lineage: Bacteria
Description: partial 16S ribosomal RNA
Rfam family: Bacterial small subunit ribosomal RNA
Source: RNAcentral